AGGGAAGAAACGGUCUGAUCUAAUACAUUGGGCUAAUGACGGUACCGAAGAAUAAGCACCGGCUAACUACGUGCCAGCAGCCGCGGUAAUACGUAGGGUGCAAGCGUUAAUCGGAAUUACUGGGCGUAAAGCGUGCGCAGGCGGUUAUGUAAGACAGGUGUGAAAUCCCCGGGCUUAACCUGGGAAUGGCAUUUGUGACUGCAUAGCUAGAGUGUGUCAGAGGGGGGUAGAAUUCCACGUGUAGCAGUGAAAUGCGUAGAGAUGUGGAGGAAUACCGAUGGCGAAGGCAGCCCCCUGGGGUAACACUGACGCUCAUGCACGAAAGCGUGGGGAGCAAACAGGAUUAGAUACCCCUGGUAGUCCACGCNNNAAACGAUGUCUACUAGUUGUCGGGUCUUAAUUGACUUGGUAACGCAGCUAACGCGUGAAGUAGACCGCCUGGGGAGUACGGUCGCAAGAUUAAAACUCAAAGGAAUUGACGGGGACCCGCACAAGCGGUGGAUGAUGUGGAUUAAUUCGAUGCAACGCGAAAAACCUUACCUACCCUUGACAUGGCUGGAAUCCUUGAGAGAUUGAGGAGUGCUCGAAAGAGAACCAGUACACAGGUGCUGCAUGGCUGUCGUCAGC
This 627-nucleotide ribosomal RNA is filed under the name uncultured beta proteobacterium. RNAcentral describes it as "bacterial SSU rRNA". It matches the Rfam family "Bacterial small subunit ribosomal RNA", at positions 441 to 1059 of the family's 1533-position model. The record is from RNAcentral. Lineage: Bacteria; Pseudomonadati; Pseudomonadota; Betaproteobacteria.